GACGAACGCUGGCGGCGUGCUUAACACAUGCAAGUCGAACGGAAAGGCCUCUUUCGGGGGGUACUCGAGUGGCGAACGGGUGAGUAACACGUGAGUAACCUGCCCUUGACUUUGGGAUAACUUCAGGAAACUGGGGCUAAUACCGGAUAGGAGCUCCUGCUGCAUGGUGGGGGUUGGAAAGUUUCGGCGGUUGGGGAUGGACUCGCGGCUUAUCAGCUUGUUGGUGGGGUAGUGGCUUACCAAGGCUUUGACGGGUAGCCGGCCUGAGAGGGUGGUCGGCCACAUUGGGACUGAGAUACGGCCCAGACUCCUACGGGAGGCAGCAGUGGGGAAUAUUGCACAAUGGGUGGAAGCCUGAUGCAGCAACGCCGUGUGCGGGAUGACGGCCUUCGGGUUGUAAACCGCUUUCGCUCAUGACGAAGCUUUGUGUGACGGUAGUGGGUAAAGAAGCACCGGCUAACUACGUG
This 467-nucleotide ribosomal RNA is filed under the name uncultured bacterium. RNAcentral describes it as "partial 16S ribosomal RNA". It matches the Rfam family "Bacterial small subunit ribosomal RNA", at positions 28 to 507 of the family's 1533-position model. The record is from RNAcentral.